UACGUAGGGUGCGAGCGUUAAUCGGAAUUACUGGGCGUAAAACGUGCGCAGGCGGUUCGUUGUGUCGGUGGUGAAAGCCCCGGGCUUAACCUGGGAAUGGCCAUGGAAACUGGCGAACUGGAGUGUGGCAGAGGGGGGUGGAAUUCCGCGUGUAGCAGUGAAAUGCGUAGAGAUGCGGAGGAACACCGAUGGCGAAGGCAGCCCCCUGGGCUAGCACUGACGCUCAGGCACGAAAGCGUGGGGAGCAAACAGG
RNAcentral lists this ribosomal RNA (253 nucleotides) under uncultured bacterium. RNAcentral describes it as "partial 16S ribosomal RNA". It matches the Rfam family "Bacterial small subunit ribosomal RNA", at positions 524 to 776 of the family's 1533-position model. The record is from RNAcentral.